RNAcentral lists this ribosomal RNA (446 nucleotides) under uncultured bacterium. RNAcentral describes it as "bacterial SSU rRNA". It matches the Rfam family "Bacterial small subunit ribosomal RNA", at positions 28 to 507 of the family's 1533-position model. The record is from RNAcentral.
GAUGAACGCUGGCGGUAUGCUUAACACAUGCAAGUCGUACGAAGACCUUUGGUCUUAGUGGCGGACGGGUGAGUAACACGUGAGAAUCUGCCCUUAGGAAGAGGAUAACAGCUGGAAACGGUUGCUAAUACCCCAUAUGCUUUUGAGUGAAAUGGAUUUUAUCCGCCUAGAGAGAAGCUCGCGGCUGAUUAGCUUGUUGGUAAGGUAAGAGCUUACCAAGGCGACGAUCAGUAUCUGGUUUGAGAGGACGAUCAGACACACUGGAACUGAGACACGGUCCAGACUCCUACGGGAGGCAGCAGUGGGGAAUUUUCCGCAAUGGGCGAAAGCCUGACGGAGCAAUACCGCGUGAGGGAAGAAUGCCUAUGGGUUGUAAACCUCUUUUUCUAGGGAGGGAAAUAAAAAUAGAACGUGUACCUGAAGAAUAAGCAUCGGCUAACUCCGUG